This 374-nucleotide long non-coding RNA is filed under the name Mytilus galloprovincialis (Mediterranean mussel). Lineage: Eukaryota; Metazoa; Mollusca; Bivalvia; Mytilida; Mytilidae. The record is from RNAcentral.
GGCCAUUCCAGUUAAUACCUGUUAAAGGGGGUUGGAUGGUCCUUUCUGAGGGGUGUAAAAUUCAUACAUCUUAGGGGUGAAAAUUUGGGUUUUCUCAUCUGACAUGUUCACUUAUACGCAAAAAAUUUCUGAGGGUCAUGCAGCAGUAAAUAAUUUAAAAUAAGUACAUCUGAGGGGUUUCAAAAAUGCCUACGUUAGAUCUUAGGGGUGCUUCUGAAAGUAGACAGUUACGUAUCAUGCAUUAUCUGGUAUUGUAUUUAAAAUUCUGAUGGGUACAAUCCUCUUUAAAAAAUUCUGAUAGGUCAUUUUUUCCCAUGAAAACCCAUCCACCCAAUAUGAACAGAAACCCUACAUCUGAUAGGUCUUAAUUUUUA